RNAcentral lists this ribosomal RNA (300 nucleotides) under uncultured Thalassomonas sp. RNAcentral describes it as "bacterial SSU rRNA". It matches the Rfam family "Bacterial small subunit ribosomal RNA", at positions 115 to 417 of the family's 1533-position model. The record is from RNAcentral. Lineage: Bacteria; Pseudomonadati; Pseudomonadota; Gammaproteobacteria; Alteromonadales; Colwelliaceae.
GCUUGGGAAUAUGCCUUGAGGUGGGGACGAACAGUUGGAAACGACUGCUAAUACCGCAUAAUGUCUACGGACCAAAGAGGGGGACCGUUCGGGCCUCUUGCCUUUAGAUUAGCCCAAGUGAGAUUAGCUAGUAGGUGGGGUAAUGGCUCACCUAGGCGACGAUCUCUAGCUGGUUUGAGAGGAUGAUCAGCCACACUGGGACUGAGACACGGCCCAGACUCCUACGGGAGGCAGCAGUGGGGAAUAUUGCACAAUGGGGGAAACCCUGAUGCAGCCAUGCCGCGUGUGUGAAGAAGGCCU